UCUUUCAGCUUUUGAGAUGUAUCGUUUAUUACUCACCGUUGCCUUCUUCUCUUCCUGACCAGUUCCAUCAUCUACGCUUACUUGCAAUGUUUUAACGCCAUAUUUUCUUCCAGAUGUGGUAGCUUCAAUCCCAAGAGCCCUAUCAAAGAGAUCCUCGAGUUGUGGAGUGACGGAUGCAGCACCAUUUCCAGUAGGAUCGGACUUGUUUGCAGAAACUAUGUCAUAGGGAAUACCAUCGUCAUUGGUGGAAAGUUCAGGUAAGUCGCCAAGUUUAGAAUCGGCUUUGCUUUCUAGUUCUGACCCUUUUGUGCACGUGGCUUCUUCAUCCGACUCUGAAUCAGAAAUUUCCUCAACAGGACCACUUUCGGUCAGAUCAUUUGUCACAUCCUCCUCACCUCGUACUCUCCUUUCAUUCAAAUGAGAACCCAAAGAGCUCUCAUCUAAGCGAAACAACAAACCAAAUCCCAUGAUUAGGGGACUAGGGGGGAGGAAGUUCUUUUUCCCACGGAUCAUGAAACUUCCAACGGUGAGAUAUUCUCCAGUAGGUGCAGUUUUACUCACCUGGUGAGGGUACACCCACCAAGCACUAGUGACGAUUUUCGAAUCCCAUGCUUUGCUGUGGCAGACCUACAAUCAACCAAACUCUACUUACAGAUCUUCCUAUCUUCGGCUUGCUCUAUUCCAAAUAAUAAACAGAACAUAAGGGAGAACAGUUAAAGGACUUUCGAAGAACAGCU
RNAcentral lists this long non-coding RNA (737 nucleotides) under Linum usitatissimum (flax). RNAcentral describes it as "long non-coding RNA (LUSI_LNC002041)". The record is from RNAcentral. Lineage: Eukaryota; Viridiplantae; Streptophyta; Magnoliopsida; Malpighiales; Linaceae.